Molecule: long non-coding RNA, 253 nt
Filed under: Lathyrus oleraceus (garden pea)
Lineage: Eukaryota; Viridiplantae; Streptophyta; Magnoliopsida; Fabales; Fabaceae
Description: Pisum sativum (pea) long non-coding RNA (PSAT_LNC012890)
Source: RNAcentral
UUGUUGCGACAUUUUUCUUCUGGAUCUACCCUUCAACCUAACAAACUCUUACUGUAAUUUUUUGUCAAAUAAAAAACAAAAUGUAGUUUAUUUAUAAACAGAAAAAAAACAUAGAAAAAAAGGUUUCUUGUUAAUGGAUUGAUCAAAAUCCAUGAAUCCAACUAUAAGAGAGUAAGUUUCAUAAGCUCAAAUCUAUCAAAAUUGCAAGAAUCCAACAAAAUAUAUUCAAUCAAAUCUUGCAAACUACAUAAUG